UUCCGGUUGAUCCUGCCGGAGGUUACUGCUAUCGGGGGUUCGACUAAGCCAUGCGAGUCGAAUGUAGCAAUACAUGGCGUACUGCUCAGUAACACGUGGACAACCUGCCCUUAUGACGGGGAUAAACCCGGGAAACUGGGUAUAAUACCCGAUAGGUCUCGACUGCUGGAAUGCAUCGAGAUCUAAAGCUCCGGCGCCUAAGGAUGGGUCUGCGGCCUAUGAGGUAGUAGUGGGUGUAGUGUACCUACUAGCCUACGACGGGUACGGGUUGUGAGAGCAAGAGCCCGGAGAUGGAUUCUGAGACACGAAUCCAGGCCCUACGGGGUGCAGCAGGCGCGAAAACUUUACAAUGCUGGCAACAGCGAUAAGGGAACCUCGAGUACCAGGUUACAAAUCUGGCUGUCGUGAUGCCUAAAAAGCAUUGCAUAGCAGGGCCGGGCAAGACCGGUGCCAGCCGCCGCGGUAACACCGGCGGCUCGAGUGGUAACCGUUAUUAUUGGGUCUAAAGGGUCUGUAGCCGGCCGGAUAAGUCCCUUGAGAAAUCUGACAGCUUAACUGUCAGGCUUUCAGGAGAUACUGUCUGGCUCGAGGCCGGGAGAGGUGAGAGGUACUUCAGGGGUAGGGGUGAAAUCUUGUAAUCCUUGAAGGACCACCAGUGGUGAAGGCGUCUCACCAGAACGGACCUGACGGCAAGGGACGAAAGCUAGGGGCACGAACCGGAUUAGAUACCCGGGUAGUCCU
This 741-nucleotide ribosomal RNA is filed under the name uncultured archaeon. RNAcentral's name for it is "bacterial SSU rRNA". It matches the Rfam family "Archaeal small subunit ribosomal RNA", at positions 1 to 748 of the family's 1478-position model. The record is from RNAcentral.